This 544-nucleotide long non-coding RNA is filed under the name Hordeum vulgare. RNAcentral's name for it is "long non-coding RNA (HVUL_LNC010219)". The record is from RNAcentral. Lineage: Eukaryota; Viridiplantae; Streptophyta; Magnoliopsida; Poales; Poaceae.
AUCAUGUAUAUAUAGGCAUCACGUCCAUAAGCAAAUAGGCCAACUCCUUCCUCCAUCUAUUACUAUUGCUCCACCCAUCGACCACUAUCCAGCAUGCAUCUAGAGUAUUAAGUAAAACACAGUAAUGUUUGGAGAACAAUGACAUGAUGUAGAAAAAUAGAAGUCAAUUAAUAUGAACUAACCCCAUCGUUUUAUCCUUAGUGGCAACAAUACAAAGGUGUGUCCUUGUCCCUUUCUAUCACUGCGAUAUAAAACUCUGCCAGAUUGAACCCACUACAAUGCACCCUUCUCAUUGAAGAAAUAUCAAUCUAGUUGGCCAAACUAUUUCAAUGGAUCGGAGAGAUUUAUGAAGCUACCAUAAUCAUGCAAAUAAGAAUCAUAUCAGAAUUCAAAGAAGACUCAAGUCUUUAUCAUGAGGAAUCUAAACAUAAACCCACAAUUCAUCGGAUCCCAACAAAUGCACGGCACACAAGAAUUACAUCGGAUAUAUCAAAGCGAAGAUGCCAUGAUCAUUGUAUUGAAGAUCAAUAGAGAUAGAGAGAUA